UACGUAGGGGGCUAGCGUUGUCCGGAAUCAUUGGGCGUAAAGAGCGUGUAGGCGGUCCGGUAAGUCCGUUGUGAAAGUCAGGGGCUCAACCCUUGAAUGCCGGCGGAUACUGUCGGGCUAGAGUCCGGAAGAGGCGAGUGGAAUUCCCGGUGUAGCGGUGAAAUGCGCAGAUAUCGGGAGGAACACCAAUGGCGAAGGCAGCUCGCUGGGACGGUACUGACGCUGAGACGCGAAAGCGUGGGGAGCAAACAGG
RNAcentral lists this ribosomal RNA (253 nucleotides) under uncultured bacterium. RNAcentral describes it as "partial 16S ribosomal RNA". It matches the Rfam family "Bacterial small subunit ribosomal RNA", at positions 524 to 776 of the family's 1533-position model. The record is from RNAcentral.